UCAGAAUCUUGUAUAUUGGCAUGAAUUGUGUGCUUCUAUUGUACAUAUUUAAUUAAAUAUUUCUUCUGAUUGUUUUAGAUGGAAUUAUUAUCAGAAUGAUAGGUUCUCAGUAAGGUUAAUGUAUCUAGCUUUAAUUAACAAUGGUUAUGUUGAGAGGAAUAAGUGUAUUUGUGUCAUAGGCUCUCCGGACCUCCCAUUAUAUUUGAGAUAUGAAGUGAAUAAUUUAAGUCAUCAAACAAACAUAAUGAAAUAUCCGACACCUCGAGAGAAGAAUAUUGGAGAUAUUGCUGGGCCUUUAGCCUGCCAGUCAACUUCAGCCUGAGAUGUGCCCGUCAAACCACUCGAAGGCGGCGACCAGAUGUGUUACACAUUCAGGAGACUUGACAAAAAUAGCUAAAUAUCUACAACAUCUCAACUAUUCUUAACUCAUACUCAUGUGAAUCUAGUUCCUAGGAUGUGCACUAGAUUCACACUUUCAUCUUAAGCAUGGACAUACAUAGCAAAUACAAAUAAGAUGAAAGCGAUUAAAAUUUACAACUACUUUAGAGAUACAUAGGCCCACUGGCCAAAUAACUAUAUAGAACAGCGGAAAGCUUGUCUACCCAAUCCACAAGCACACCGACUAGGGGUUUACCCCAUUAAGUUCAAGUCCUAGAAGAAGCAGACGAUUACCCGCAUCACUCAAAGACUGAAUCUAAAACCUGCAAGCAAAAGAUUAAUUCAACAGUAAGAGUCUGUACAUUAUUAGAAAUAAUGUACUGGCAAGCACCAAGACAAGCCUAACACCCUACUUGCAAGGCAUAUAAUCAAGGAAGGCAUAAUAUGGUUCUUUUUAGCAUAAAGCAAGUUUUGUUUGCAUAAAACAUUUCCAAAUCAGAUUUGUUUUCAAAUAAAUUUCAGCAAGCUAGUACUUGACAUAUUGGACAUCAAAGUAGUCAUUAAUCAUGUAUAAAUAUACACCUCAUUGCCCUCCAUGGCAGCAAGGAGAUCAUUCUCAAAUCUCAAUAUAAUUUAAAAGUAAAUUCAGCAUUUAGAAGAAUAAACACAAGUCUAUACUCAACACAUAUCCACAUGCCGCUCAUAACCGCGAGCACGGCUAAUCGAUUAGUUUUUAUAACUCUGCAGAGUUUGUACAGCUUUACCCACAUGAUGUGAAUCACUCUAGUUUGUCCGGUACCCGUCAAUACCACCAUACUCUACACAUUGAGUACGGUCUAGAGGUCACAACGAGGCUUUUACAUUAAGUAUUGUCUAACCUUGCAUGAGCACGAUACGUGUUUCUCCAUCCUAGAUCAUACUCGAUAUAUGACCUAGAACCGUUAAGUGGCGGACCCACGCCUUAAACUUAACGCCGUGGUAGCGGACACAACGGGAACCCACCACGUGGCACAAUAUCGUUGUAUUGGACACACUUAGACGCCCAUGCCGUGAGGCGGAACAUACACUCGUCCCCUCACGGAAAUCACACACUUAGGAAUAGUACAAUCGUCCUAAGGUUCAACACACACAUGGGUAGUUCCUCUAGAUAGCCUACAGUACAUUCGUAGCCCCUACCUAUACUACAACGGCCUCCUGAAUGCAAAGUUAGACAAGUGCUUAACUUAAUUGGCCAAGAUCCCCCUAUAAAGACACAUGUGGAUGUACGGUAGACAUAAUGAACAGACAUUGAGUGAAGUCCUUAGGUCGAUUUGGGCGCACUCUCCCCCUAUCGGUACACAACUAAUCACCAUAUGUGCACCAAUUGAGGCCCAAACCUAAAAUCCAUGUUUUCCAUCAUUUUAUUUAUCAAAAUCACAAGUAUUAAAGUUUUGUCCAGAUUAUUUCAAAAUCAAUUUUCAUGUUUGUAAUGAGCCUAUAAUGACAAGGAAGACCAUUUCUAAGCAUGGCUAAGCAUUAUAGCAAUCUAGUGACAUCUAAACUCAUAUAUAAAGUGGCAUAGUCAUAUUGUUCCUAAGGUUAGGAAUGUGGGAUAUGGAUAUAUGUGGGGUUAGGGUGAUAAUGCAAGUAAUAGGAGUAUGUCUAACAAGUUUAACAAAAUUUUAAUUUAUUAGUGUACAAUCGACAUGCAAGAUUUGUAAACAUGUUCAAUAACCUCCAAAACAUAGGUUCAAAGUGAUCAAAGAGAGGGAGGUGGGACUUGCCUUGCAACUGGAAAAUGUCAGCACCUAAUUCACUUCUUCACCGUUUAAGCAAUCAUCUAUACAAAGUACACGUUAUGCAAUUAAACACCGAAAUUUGCGAAAAAUCCAAAAUGCUCUAAAAUGCAUGAUUUGUGCACAGUGAAUAGGUACUGGUUUAAUAUGAAUUUAGGUGAAAGAAUUUCUAUUUUAUCUCUUUUUAUUUUGGAGUUAUGAAUUUUAAAAGUUUGCUCGGAAUAAAGUAGUAUCACCUAAGUAGUGUUAUAAAAUAUUUUUAUAAAGUGAUGUUUAUUAAGUUCGACUUCACAGAGGUGUAGGGGAGUGUUUUCUAAGACUAACACAUUUGGUUUCACAAUUUUUGGAGUUAAUAUAAAUUCUUUAUGUAUUUUACAAGUUAUAACGUGUUCUAGGCAUAUAGUCUCUACGAAUAAUUGGCUUUAGAAGUUCUAUGUCCAGAACAUGUUCUAUUUGCUAGAGAUGCAUAAAAAAUGAAUAAUUUAGCUAACCAAUUUAAUCUUAGUUCAAAAUUUUAGAGUUUAUAUUACUCUACUACAUAUUUUAUAAACUAGGGAGUGUUCUAUGUUAGUGACUUAACAUAUCAACCUAGAAAUUGAUAUAUGAGCUAAGUGUGCCAAUUUUUAGUGGUUAGGGAUGGAACUUAUGUGUGGAGAUUAUGGGUACCCCAUACCCACAUGGCAUGGUUAUCCGACUAGUUAUAGAGGAUAACUUAUAUAUAUAAAAUAUGUAACAGAUCAUGACUUGGGUAUUACGUUUCCCUGUAUAUUAUGAAACGGCCUAAAGUCCUGGUUUGAUAAGAUUGUAAACUAGAUUUAGGAAACCGAUACCGUAUUGGUUAAGGUUUCUAUCUUGUAACCCUGCCCCCCAACCUAUAUAAGGCGGGCAGGGAGCCCCCUCUAGGGGCAUGAGACAACCUGAUCGUCAGAUCAAUACAUACUCGGCGGAUUCAAAUCCCCAAACAGGAGUAGGGUAUUACCUCUCAUUGAGAGGGCCUGAACCUGUCUAAAUCCUUUGUCUCCACAUCCAUCCACUUUUAGGUCUCGUGCGCUACCCCGUUUUAUUAUUGCCGAAUUCAUGUUUCGACAUUAUGUUUUCUCCGGUCCAACAAGUUUUGUGUUGGUUUAUUCAUAGCUAGAGUGCAUUUUAAAUACCUCUACACAUAUAUUUUGCUUAACCAUUACUAGGUGAUUAACUUCUAGGUUAUCUAUUUAAAGAUUAGAUCUAUAAUCUGUACAAAAGGUGCCACAUUUUAUUUUACUAUGUUGAAGCCCACUAUUUUCUGGUUCUAUAGAAACUAGGUUCACUCCAUUUGGGCUAAAGAUGAAUUUUCUACAAAUUUUACAAAUUAAGGUAUGCUCUAUGUUGCUUAUUCCUUACACAAAUGUUUAGGGGUUUUUGUUAUACUGUAAGUAUGUCUUUUUAUUUUAUAACAUUGAAGUGCAUAACUCUAUGAUCCUAUAGAACCUGAGUUUACUCAAAAAGGAUCUAAGAUGAAUUUUAUAUAAACUUCUAAAGUUCAGCUAAUCUAAAACUAGUCAUUUUAAAGGUAAUAGUUUUAGAGGUAUUUGAUGUAAAGUGUGUAUAUGUUUUAUUUCACUUUGUUUUUAGAGAACAUAUUGAUGGAUCUGUAGAAACUAAGUUUGCU
RNAcentral lists this long non-coding RNA (3801 nucleotides) under Oryza sativa (Asian cultivated rice). RNAcentral describes it as "long non-coding RNA (OSAT_LNC000726)". Lineage: Eukaryota; Viridiplantae; Streptophyta; Magnoliopsida; Poales; Poaceae. The record is from RNAcentral.